AACGAACGCUGGCGGCAGGCUUAACACAUGCAAGUCGAACGCUGUAGCAAUACAGAGUGGCGCACGGGUGAGUAAUACUUGGGAAUAUGCCUUUUAGUUGGGAAUAACCACUGGAAACGGUGGCUAAUACCCGAUACGCCCUCCGGGGGAAAGAUUUAUCGCUAAAAGAUUAGCCCAAGCCAGAUUAUGGUAGUUGGUGAGGUAAUGGCUCACCAAGCCUACGAUCUGUAGCUGGUCUGAGAGGAUGAUCAGCCACACUGGGACUGAGAUACGGCCCAGACUCCUACGGGAGGCAGCAGUGGGGAAUAUUGGACAAUGGGGGCAACCCUGAUCCAGCAAUGCCGCGUGAGUGAUGAAGGCCUAGGGUUGUAAGCUCUUUUUGCCAGGGAAGAUGAUGACUGUACCUGGAGAAUAAGCCCCGGCUAACUUCGUGCCAGCAGCCGCGGUAAU
Molecule: ribosomal RNA, 450 nt
Filed under: uncultured bacterium
Lineage: Bacteria
Description: bacterial SSU rRNA
Rfam family: Bacterial small subunit ribosomal RNA
Source: RNAcentral